Non-coding RNA from Phalacrocorax carbo (great cormorant), 1496 nucleotides. Lineage: Eukaryota; Metazoa; Chordata; Aves; Suliformes; Phalacrocoracidae. The record is from RefSeq and is a predicted model, not a curated record.
AUGAGCUCGUCAUUUCUUCCCAGAAUCCCAUGUUUAACUUCAAUCAUGAAAUCCAAAACCCAAUACACUUUGAUUCGACGGAACCAGAAACUUCCUCUCUCCAAGGAGAUUCCAGGCAUACUGAUGGGUCUGUCUAUUUGUGUGAUCAGAGGAGCUUCAUAAGGAGAAAAUGGAUGGAUGGAAAUGCCAAAGUGAUUCAGAUAAUCUUCCAUAACACAGACUGCAUCCAAAUCAAAGUAUUUCAAGAAAGACUGAAUAACUGGAGCACACAGUCCUGCUAGCAAUCAAAAAAUGAAAAAGCCAAGCUGCUGUUAAACUCAGUUAUUCUGUUAGCUUCCAUGGUAUUUAUACUGAUUUACAUUUAGUAUCUAGCUUCAACAUACAUCUUCUUGAUACUGUAGGGAAGCAAUCUUCAUAGUUGCACUGGUCAGGAGAGCUUUGCAAAUUAGCCUCAGCUGUCAAUACAGCCCAAGUAAAACCAGAGCAAAAGAACCAAGAAAAGAAUAUGCUGCUUAAUUGCUGAAAGAGAAAAGGAACUAAAUGUACUGCACAGUGUUUAAAAAGAAGUCUCGCACCAAGAACUGUUGCCCCAAAUAUAUAUAUCUGCUAGCAAAAGUAAAAGUGAUUAUCAUAGUGAGUGUUGAAAAAUGACAGUUUUAAGUCCUUGGACUCUCCUUCGCAAUAUAUACAAUUGCCAGUGCCUUCAACAGAAACUUCAUAUAAAUACCGGGAGUCGGAACUGGCUUCUCAGACAAACGUUUGUGCAUUCUAUCAAGUUGGGACAAAGCCAACAUCUCUUAUGGAAACAUUUUUGGUGGUCCUGGGCAAAGAACAUGUUUACUUUAUAGCAGAUACAACUAAAAAUACACUGUGCUACAGCCUCCAAUUAUCUUGUUUGGAAUAGUUUGAGGCUACUCGAGGUUCAUUGCUGUUAUUUUCUUUAUUAUAUAGUAAAAAUGUUGCUCCUUUUCCUGUAAUUUGAAAAAGCAGCUAUUUCAAGAUUUGACAUCUGUGUUUGUACCUCCCCCGCAUGGAUAACAAGAUCCAGGGUGAAAUUUUCCAGAGCGCCCAUCUCCCAUUUUCAAGAGCAACUCAGUCGAGCUUUCCCAGCCUCCGACCCGCUCUGGCAUCCUGCGAGUUGUUAAUGAAUCAGUUCUGCAUGAAUCACUUCCCAUGUGCAGACUGCGGGUUUCAUCACAGAGUAGAUUCUCACAGACUUUCCUCCUUGGUCCCGAUGACAAAGAACUACCUCUGCUACCAAAACAAGCCUUGAAGUUUCCACAAGGAGUUAACAGAAGGUGUGUGCCGUGUGAGAGAGGUGAAAAGGGUAGUGGAAGAAGGCUGUGUUAAUUUUACAACUCUGACUUUCUUAAUUAUGAGUCACCAGCAACGCAGGAGAAAUUCAGCUUAAAAAGUAAACCUAAAAGAGUGUGAUGUCUUAGGGGAACGCUGCAGAUUUAAGAUGAAAUGCCUCAUUAAAAGCCCACAGAAGUUAA